CCCUUAGAUGUCCUGGGCCGCACGCGCGCUACACUGACAUGUUCAACAAGUUUCUCCUAGUUCGACAGGACUGGGAAAUCUUUGAACGCAUGUCGUGAUAGGGAUAGAUCAUUGCAAUUAUUGAUCUUGAACGAGGAAUUCCUAGUAAACGCGAGUCAUCAGCUCGCAUUGAUUACGUCCCUGCCCCUUGUACACACCGCCCGUCGCACCUACCGAUUGAAUGUUUCGGUGAAGAUUCCGGAUAGGACUGAUUUGAUUUAUUUCAUUUCUGACCUAAAAGCUAUCUAAACCUCAACAUUUAGAGGAAGGUGAAGUCGUAACA
This 322-nucleotide ribosomal RNA is filed under the name uncultured eukaryote. Its description in RNAcentral is "partial 18S ribosomal RNA". It matches the Rfam family "Eukaryotic small subunit ribosomal RNA", at positions 1470 to 1796 of the family's 1831-position model. The record is from RNAcentral.